Molecule: ribosomal RNA, 468 nt
Filed under: uncultured bacterium
Lineage: Bacteria
Description: partial 16S ribosomal RNA
Rfam family: Bacterial small subunit ribosomal RNA
Source: RNAcentral
GACGAACGCUGGCGGCGUGCUUAACACAUGCAAGUCGAACGGAAAUGCCCUGCUUUUGUGGGGUGCUCGAGUGGCGAACGGGUGAGUAACACGUGAGUAACCUGCCCUUGACUUUGGGAUAACUUCAGGAAACUGGGGCUAAUACCGGAUAGGAGCUCCUGCUGCAUGGUGGGGGCUGGAAAGUUUCGGCGGUUGGGGAUGGACUGGCGGCUUAUCAGCUUGUUGGUGGGGUAGUGGCUUACCAAGGCUUUGACGGGUAGCCGGCCUGAGAGGGUGACCGGCCACAUUGGGACUGAGAUACGGCCCAGACUACUACGGGAGGCAGCAGUGGGGAAUAUUACACAAUGGGCGGAAGCAUGAUGCAGCAACGCCGCGUGCGGGAUGACGGCCUUCGGGUUGUAAACCGCUUUCGCCUGUGACGAAGCGUGAGUGAAGGUAAUGGGUAAAGAAGCACCGGCUAACUACGUG